Molecule: ribosomal RNA, 433 nt
Filed under: uncultured Thermoflexus sp.
Lineage: Bacteria; Bacillati; Chloroflexota; Thermoflexia; Thermoflexales; Thermoflexaceae
Description: bacterial SSU rRNA
Rfam family: Bacterial small subunit ribosomal RNA
Source: RNAcentral
CGGCAGCAGUGAGGGAUAUUGCGCAAUGGGCGAAAGCCUGACGCAGCAACGCCGCGUGGGCGAUGAAGGCCUUCGGGUUGUAAAGCCCUUUUCUGGGGGAAGAGGAAGGACGGUACCCCAGGAAUAAGUCCCGGCUAACUACGUGCCAGCAGCCGCGGUAAAACGUAGGGGACAAGUGUUAUCCGGAUUCACUGGGCGUAAAGCGCGUGCAGGUGGUGCUUUAAGUUGGGCGUGAAAUCUCCCGGCUUAACUGGGAGGAGUCGUUCAAUACUGAAGCACUUGAGGGCAGGAGAGGGAGGUGGAAUUCCCGGUGUAGUGGUGAAAUGCGUAGAUAUCGGGAGGAACACCAGUGGCGAAGGCGGCCUCCUGGCCUGCUCCUGACACUAAGACGCGAAAGCUAGGGUAGCAAACGGGAUUAGAUACCCCGGUAGUC